CAGUAGCCACGGUAAUACGUAGGGUGCAAGCGUUGUCCGGAAUUAUUGGGCGUAAAGAGCUCGUAGGCGGUUUGUCGCGUCUGCUGUGAAAUCUGGGGGCUCAACCCCCAGCCUGCAGUGGGUACGGGCAGACUAGAGUGCGGUAGGGGAGAUUGGAAUUCCUGGUGUAGCGGUGGAAUGCGCAGAUAUCAGGAGGAACACCGAUGGCGAAGGCAGAUCUCUGGGCCGUAACUGACGCUGAGGAGCGAAAGCAUGGGGAGCGAACAAGAUUAGAUACCCCCGUAGUCCCUGUCUCUUAUAC
This 301-nucleotide ribosomal RNA is filed under the name uncultured bacterium. Its description in RNAcentral is "partial 16S ribosomal RNA". It matches the Rfam family "Bacterial small subunit ribosomal RNA", at positions 509 to 807 of the family's 1533-position model. The record is from RNAcentral.